ACUCAAAUGAAUAGACGGGGGCCCGCACAAGCGGUGGAGCAUGUGGUUUAAUUCGACGCAACGCGCAGAACCUUACCCAGACUUGACAUUGAUGGAAUCCUGUAGAGAUACGGGAGUACCCUUCGGGGACCUGAAAACAGGUGCUGCAUGGCUGUCGUCAGCUCGUGUCGUGAGAUGUUGGGUUAAGUCCCGCAACGAGCGCAACCCUCAUCGUUAGUUGCCAUCAGGUAAUGCUGGGCACUCUAGCGAGACUGCCGGUGUCAAACCGGAGGAAGGUGGGGAUGACGUCAAGUCCUCAUGGCCUUUAUGUCUGGGGCUACACACGUGCUACAAUGGCACCUACAGAGUGAUGCAAACUCGCGAGAGCCAGCAAAUCACAAAAAAGGUGUCUCAGUUCGGAUCGGAGUCUGCAACUCGACUUCGUGAAGUCGGAAUCGCUAGUAAUCGAGGAUCAGCACGCCUCGGUGAAUACGUUCCCGGGCCUUGUACACACCGCCCGU
This 500-nucleotide ribosomal RNA is filed under the name uncultured bacterium. Its description in RNAcentral is "partial 16S ribosomal RNA". It matches the Rfam family "Bacterial small subunit ribosomal RNA", at positions 899 to 1397 of the family's 1533-position model. The record is from RNAcentral.